CCCAAGACGAGCCCACGUUCACUCUCCCUUCUUCCUGAUUGGUUUGAGCUAUCGCGCGCCAAAACUGAAAAUUCCUUUAUCAGCCACUUCUGCGUUGGCGAGAAUCGUGCAGUAGAAGGGAGAGGAGCCGAGAGGCUCCAAUCUCAACUGCUGCACCCAGGAAGCAGAGGAGGACGUGAGUCCUUUUUCUGUUGUAGGCGUUAUAAAGCGUUAAAGCUUUAAAGGGCCAGUAAUAUAACUAAAGCUUCAGAGGAAGCAAAACUUUAAUGCCAGCGGGUGCACCCUAUAAAAUGGCUAAAAUGGUUUCAAGGUAUUUCAUCGGUUCCAGGUAUUUCAUGGUUUCUCAAGGGAUUUCUCGGGCUCAAUCUCAACUGCUGCACCCAGAGAGGGAGCAGGGGAGGACCUGAUUCACUUUUCUGUUCUCGGCUUUAUAAAGCUACAUUUAAAGGUUUAUAUAGGACCAAUAUUACUAAAGCUUCAGAGGAAGCAAAACUUUAAUGCCAGUGGGUGCACCCUUUAAAAUGGCUAAAAUGGUUUCAAGGUUUCAAUGGAUUUCAUGAUUUCAUGGUUUACCAGGGAUUUCAUGGUUUCUCAAGGGAUUUCUCGGGCUCAAUCUCAACUGCUGCACCCAGAGAGGGAGCAGGCGAGGACCUGAGUCCCUUUUCUGUUCUCGGCUUUAUAAAGCUACAUUUAAAGGUUUAUAUAGGACUAUUACUAAAGCUUCAGAGGAAGCAAAAACUUUAAUGCCAGCGGGUGCACCCUAUAAAAUGGCUAAAAUGGUUUCACAAGGUCUUGUGGUAUUUCAUGGUUUACAAGAGACCCCAAGGUUUUCCAAGGGGUUUCUCAAAUAUGUUACAGCACAAAACAGUGACUUUCAACAUGACCUUCAAACGGCACUUAGCUGUGAUGUAGGCUGUUUGACUGUGCUGUGUGGCUGUGUGGCUGUGUGCUGCGCUCUCUGCGCAGUGCAAUGUAUUGUUUUGGUGCAGUGCAUUGGGUGAAAUGUACUGUUUCUGGAGUUGGUCCAGGCUAUUGGGUGCAAUACAUUUUAUUGGGUGCUAGCCAAAGACAAUGGAUCCGUCGCAAUGCAACACAAGACAUGGAAGCUCGUGAUCCACAGUCCCCUCCCCUAACGGUCCUCGUCCACCUGAACGAAAAAGGGUGGCAAAUCUCCCCCCAAACUCGACUGUGGCUAAAGUGACUGCUGUCUGUUGCUGCUUUGUGACCGAUACAAUGGAACUGGAUUGGACCAAAUGGAACUGGAUUGGACCAAGUGGAACUGGAUCGGAUCCUAUGGAACGGGAUUGAACCUGAUGGAACUGGAAUUGGACUAUCUUACCGUAGCAUAUCUCUUUUGUAAAAAAGAUCUGUUGUACAGAUCUGUUGUACAUGUAGUUUGUUGCAUCUGUCCUCUCAUUGUAUGACGAGUCAGAACUGAGCUGUGAUUUAAGUCACUGGGGUGUUUGCUGCUGCUGCUGCUGCUUUUACUAAUCUAUUCCAGAAGAGACGUACUUCUGGAAUAGCCCCCCCGGUCAGUGGCCACCAUGAGACAGAAGAACCUAUGGUGGUGAGUAUCCCAAUCUCCUCCUGUGGCUUGAGUAACUGGUGUUUGUUGCUGCUUUGGGGGGGGGGGUUCUUUUUUACUCCUAUUUCAGAAGAGAGACGAACUUCUGGAAUAGCCCCCCUGGUCAGUGGCCACCAUGAGACAGAAGAACCUAUGGUGGUGAGUAUCCCAAUCUCCUCCUGUGGCUUGAGUAACUGGUGUUUGUUGCUGCUUUGUGGGGGGGGGUUUCUUUUUUACUCCUAUUUCAGAAGAGAGACGUACUUCUGGAAUAGCCCCCCUGGUCAGUGGCCACCAUGAGACAGAAGAACCUAUGGUGGUGAGUAUCCCAAUCUCCUCCUGUGGCUUGAGUAACUGGUGUUUGUUGCUGCUUUGGGGGGGGGGGUUCUUUUUUACUCCUAUUUCAGAAGAGAGACGAACUUCUGGAAUAGCCCCCCUGGUCAGUGGCCACCAUGAGACAGAAGAACCUAUUGUGGUGAGUAUCCCUUUCUCCUCCUGUGGCUUGAGUAACUGGUGUUUGUUGCUGCUUUGUGGGGGGGGGGGUUCUUUUUACUCCUAUUUCAGAAGAGAGACGUACUUCUGGAAUAGCCCCCCUGGUCAGUGGCCACCAUGAGACAGAAGAACCUAUGGUGGUGAGUAUCCCAAUCUCCUCCUGUGGCUUGAGUAACUGGUGUUUGUUGCUGCUUUGUGGUUUGUUUUUUUUCCCCCUUAUUUAUUCCAGAAAGGAGACCCAACAUGGAGACCUUGAGGCAACGCUUGGCGGAUCUCCACGACAUCUCAGAACAUGUUACAUUAUUACGUUGUUACAUCUGUAUAAGUGUAUCAAUGUAUGCUCUUAAACAAAAACUUAGUCAAAGCGACGUUUUAAGUAAAACCUUAAAGUUGCUUCCACAGCAACACAAAACUUAGUCAAAGCGACGUUUGAAGUAAAACCUUAAAGUUGCUUCCACAGCAACACAAAACUUAGUCAAAGCGACGUUAAAAGUAAAACCUUAAAGUUGCUGCCACAGCAACACAAAACUUAGUCAAAGCGACGUUAAAAGUAAAACCUUAAAGUUGCCACAGCAACAAAACUUUAUAUUAAAAGCACAAACUGGGGGCCCCUUGUGUGUUUUACAUUGCUGUAACAUGUUUUGGUCGAUGUUGUUCUGCUCCUGUUCUCGCUGUCUUGUCUCUACCUCCUAUCUCCUAUCACCCCAACCGGUCGAGGCAGAUGGCCGCACAUUUUGAGUCUGGUUCUGUCAGAGAUUUCUUCCUGUUAAAAGGGAGUUUUUUCUCUCCACUGUUGGCACUUGUGCUUGCUCAUUGUGUGAAUUGUUGGGUUUCUCUUCUCUCUAAGAUAAAAUGGACUUACUGAUAGAAAUGUUAAUCGCAGCUAAGUCAGACAACAACAACACUCCAUGCACCCACACACUUAGUUCAGGACAGAGUGAGAGUAGUCAGCGUUAGCAACGUUUGUGUUUCAAUGUUUGUUUGUCAUUGUUGUCUGCGUCAUUCAUGUUGUAAACGUCCCCUUCUUUUGUCUCCGUCCUCUUUCUAUCUUCCCCAAUCCCUCUUCCCCUUUUCCCAUUGAUGACCGUUCACAGUGCAGGGACUGUAAUGGACUCUUCGCUGUGAACGAAGAGCAAAACUGUCCGACACUAACAGACUCACAGUCCUGUCCGACUGUUUGUCUAAGUUGUGGGACAGGACAUAUCAAUGAGACGAGGUCCGAGACACACUUUGUCCAUGUUUGCGUGACAAGGAGAGGAGAAAAGAGGAGACGAGGAAAGGAUGAUGGAGCAGCAUCAGCCUCUGCAGGAGGACGGAGACGAUAACGUGAAGUUGCCCCAAGUUAAUUUUCUGUUUUCAUGCGUUCACAGAAACCAGCAGCGAAACACAUGGACUGGAUUUCACUGACUGGACUGGAUGUGAUUUACCUGUUUUUAGUGCGGCCAGCUGGGGGCGCCACAGCCACUUCACCCCAUCAGUAUGGAUUAAGAAGUUUGAAGUUUUUGUAUAAAUUAAUAGAAAAUGGCUCUUUAUUUUUUUUCCAUUGCUUUGAAAAGUCACCUGAUUUUUUACACUUUAACUUCAUUUAUAAUUCACACUUAAGUGUUGCAUUGGGAGUUGUUCCGUCUUUUGUAUUUGUGAAGAAUAAGUUAACUGUUCAUUUUUAUUUAUUCUUUGGAAUAUUUUCUGGUUUCUUUGCUCCAUAGAAAAAAGAAGUCAUUACAACAGAAUCAUUUGAGAACAUCAUCAUUUCCAGGUUUGACAAACACUGAUCAAUAUUUUUCUACAUUUCAUGACAUUUCAUGGACCAAACUACUACUCCAUUCACCGAGAAAAUUAAUUGAUUAUAAAUAUAUUCGUUAGCUGCAGCUCUACUACGGUGGCCUUGAAGUGCAAAUCACCAACACAAAUGGGAAAACACAACAUUAACUGAAAUGCAACAACCAGUUUCAGUUAAUGUUCUUGUGUUUUGGUUGUUUUAGCUGAUGUUUCAGUUGAUGUCGUUGACGUUUGGGUUUCCGUUGGUGUUGUGUUUCAGUUGCCGUUGUUGGGUUUCGGUUGACAGUGUAGGGUUUCAGUUGACGUUGUUUUCCUAUUUCUGUUGGUGAUUUGCACUUCAAGGCCACCGUAGUAGAGCUGCAGCUAACAAUUAUAUUCAUAAUCAAU
Solea solea (common sole) is the source of this 4219-nucleotide long non-coding RNA. RefSeq lists it as uncharacterized. Lineage: Eukaryota; Metazoa; Chordata; Actinopteri; Pleuronectiformes; Soleidae. The record is from RefSeq and is a predicted model, not a curated record. The transcript is spliced from 3 exons.